This is a long non-coding RNA of Protopterus annectens (West African lungfish), 428 nucleotides long. RefSeq lists it as uncharacterized. Lineage: Eukaryota; Metazoa; Chordata; Ceratodontiformes; Protopteridae. The record is from RefSeq and is a predicted model, not a curated record. The transcript is spliced from 3 exons.
CAGGAAUAGUACCUAAAAUGCACUCAGCCAACUAAGCUGGCCCAGAUAUCCAAGGUUCCAAGGUCACAUAAGAUGAAGACCAGCUGUUGUUUCGCUUUACUAUAUCUGUGGAUGACCCUAUCCCCACCUGCAUGUUCCAGAAGGAAUCAUUCCAGACUUGAGGUAUGCAAAUCCUGUUGGAGUUGGACACAUCCCAUUAAACACUUUAUGGCAAUAUUUUCUUUAUGAAUCAUCAGGACUGCUGAACUUCACUCCCAGAUGUAGCAUGAAGAAUGGGUCACAGCAGACAAAAGGCAGAACACCAAGGAAGAGAGCCAGGACUGAUGAAAUAGAAGUAGUAUCUCUGGAAGGGGACUCUGGAAACCCAACAACGUGACUAGUCAGAAGCUAACCAAGAAUAAAGCAGUAAAAUCAACACACAAUGGCAG